UACGUAGGGUGCAAGCGUUAAUCGGAAUUACUGGGCGUAAAGCGUGCGCAGGCGGUUAUGUAAGACAGGUGUGAAAUCCCCGGGCUUAACCUGGGAACUGCAUUUGUGACUGCACAGCUAGAGUACGGCAGAGGGGGAUGGAAUUCCGCGUGUAGCAGUGAAAUGCGUAGAUAUGCGGAGGAACACCGAUGGCGAAGGCAAUCCCCUGGGCCUGUACUGACGCUCAUGCACGAAAGCGUGGGGAGCAAACAGG
This 253-nucleotide ribosomal RNA is filed under the name uncultured bacterium. RNAcentral's name for it is "partial 16S ribosomal RNA". It matches the Rfam family "Bacterial small subunit ribosomal RNA", at positions 524 to 776 of the family's 1533-position model. The record is from RNAcentral.